This 1956-nucleotide long non-coding RNA is filed under the name Homo sapiens (human). RNAcentral's name for it is "HSALNT0095623". Lineage: Eukaryota; Metazoa; Chordata; Mammalia; Primates; Hominidae. The record is from RNAcentral.
GUUGUCUGAAGCCAGCUUGUCAUUCUCUCUUUCGUGAAGAUCUUACCAAGCUAAGGAGCAGAUGCUUGGGGCCCCGGGGAUUGGAGCAUGCGGGGCCUUACUGUGUUUGGUUGAGAAGAGGAGGAACAGGAUUUCUUCAAGCAGUGGGAGAUCUGCAGCCUCUUUAUUUAGCCCAGCCACCAAGUAAAGAAGUCCAGGCUACCUUUCUGGAGAAGCCACAUGGAGAAGAGAGGUCCUGGAGGUUGGGAGGCCACAUGGAGAACUGAGGCAUCCCAGCUGACAGCCAGCACCAACUGCCAGCCAUGUGAGCGUGCCUUAUUGGAAGUAGACCCUACAGCCCCAAUCAAAGCUUCAGAUGAUGCCUUGACUGACACCUUGACUACAACCUCAUGAGUCCCUGAGCCAGAACCAUCCAGCUAAACCACUCCCAAUCUGACCCACAGAAACUCUGAGAUAAUGUAUGUUUGUUGUUUUAAGCCACUAAGUUAUGGAAAACAAUAACUUAGCACAGCAAUCAAUGACAAAUUCAAUAGUUCCUAGAAGCCCAGAGAAAGUAAUGGUCCAUGCUGAACAACAUAGGAAUGCCUGAUUUGCCCCUGAAAGAUAGUAGAGAAAGAAAUAAAGAAGUUGAAGGAAGUGAGAAAGCUGGAAUGGAUACAUUAUGUGAGGCCAGAGGAUCAUGCUCUAUGAGAGGCCUCAGAGCACACACCAUCAACCAAGGCUAUCAGGGGUACCAUCACCAUGAAGAGGUCCAGUGGUAAUUCUCCUCUCCAGGCCAGAGAGGUGGUCACAGGGCUGGGCUGGUUAGUAUCCACAGGGAUGUCUCCUCAUUCUCAAGUAACAGAGGCCAGGUACAUUAGGCAUCAGAAGCCAGCUCUGGCAGCUUUUACCAUAAUGACUGGCAAGUUUGAAGCGGCAGCUAAAAGAGCUUCAUGGAGUUGUGGCAGUGACUGAUAGAGCGUGGCACUCCUAGGAGCAAGAUAGAUGGGCAGCCUACAAGGUGAUGCUUAACCUCUAUAAUUCCCCCAAUCCCCAAAAAAAGCAAGACUGAAGGAGCAGGAGACUGAGGGAAAUUACCCCAAUAUGAAGUCAUGGGGCCGGGCGCGGUGGCUCACGCCUGUAAUCCCAGCACUUUGGGAGACCGAGGUGGGCAGAUCACCUGAGGUCAGGAGUUCAAGACUGGCCUGGCCAACAUGGCUAAAUCCUAUCUCUACCAAAAAUAUAAAAAAUUAGCCGGGCGUGGUGGCAUGCAUCCGUAAUCCCAGCUACUCGGGAGGCUGAGGCAGGAGAAUCACUUGAACCCAGGAGGCAGAGGCUGCAGUGAGCCAAGAUCCUGCGACUGCACUCCAGCCUGGGUGACAGAGCAACACUCUAUCUCAAUAAACAAAUAAAUAAAUCUGGACUCUUACUCAGUUCCUGAACCAGUGUCAGUUUUCAGAUCCAGAACCAGUUGACUGAAGGGGUGAAUUAGUCCUUAAAAGAAAGGAUCUGGAAAGGCUAUGGGAGGUAUAUACUAGAAUAUUUACUUAGGUUAUUGUACACUAAGAAAAGGGGAUACCCAGAUAUUUAAAACACUUCUAGAUAGAUCUGAAGUGACGUUGAUGCCCAGAGACCCAAAGGAUGCGCACAGUCCCCUUGUUAAAGAGGGGGCUUACAAAUAUUAGGAUAUGAAUGUACUCAUGGCUAAAAUCUAGUUCAUGGAAGGUCUCCUGGAUCUGUUAAACCACAAUAUGAUCAUUUCCCCAGUCCCUGAGUGUGAAACUGGGAUUGACAAGCUUAGCAGUUGGUAUGGCAUCCACAUUGGCUCCUCGGCCUGUGAGGUAAGAAUGAUGGUAGUAGAGACGGUCAAGUGGAAUCCUCUGAAGCUACCUGCUCCUUCCUGGCUAAGAGAGUAAAUAAAAAAUACUAUGUCCUAGAAGGAUGGAGACAAUUAGCAUCACCAUUAAAAACCUAAGG